GGGGCAUUAGCUCAGUUGGCUAGAGCGCCACACUGGCAGUGUGGAGGUCAUCGGUUCGAGCCCGAUAUGCUCCACCA
This 77-nucleotide transfer RNA is filed under the name Lentisphaeria bacterium. RNAcentral describes it as "tRNA-Ala". It matches the Rfam family "tRNA". From Rfam's summary of the family: Transfer RNA (tRNA) molecules are approximately 80 nucleotides in length. The record is from RNAcentral. Lineage: Bacteria; Pseudomonadati; Lentisphaerota; Lentisphaeria.